AGGCAUGCUUGUUGUACAGGUCCCGGGUGU
RNAcentral lists this non-coding RNA (30 nucleotides) under Rattus norvegicus (Norway rat). Lineage: Eukaryota; Metazoa; Chordata; Mammalia; Rodentia; Muridae. The record is from RNAcentral.